Molecule: non-coding RNA, 6595 nt
Organism: Macaca mulatta (Rhesus monkey)
Lineage: Eukaryota; Metazoa; Chordata; Mammalia; Primates; Cercopithecidae
Source: RefSeq, a predicted model, not a curated record
AUGUUGCCCAGGCUAUUGAUCAAUUUUUGUUUUAACAUUCAAAUUUAUAAUAUUAUAACCAAAUGUAAUAUUUAUAUUAGACUUCUCCUAUUUCAUAGGUGGCAUAUUCUACAUUAGUGGAGUCCAGGAGAAUUUCUGUAGAGGUGAACAUAUUCUGUGUCUACACUGUCAAAUACAGUAGCCACUAGCUACCUGUGGCAUUGAAUAUAUGAAAUGCGGUGAAUGCAACUGAGGAACUAAAUUUUUAGUUUUAUCUAAAAUAAAAUAUAUCUAAAAUACCUUGUUUAAAUAACCACAUGUGGUCAGUGCCUACCAUAUUGAACAGCAACAGCUCCUCACAUUUUUCUGUGCCUUGCUUCUUUCACUUAAUAGUAUAUCUUGAAAAUCAUUACAUGGCAGUAGAGAAAGAGAGUCCUCCUUGCUUGGUAUACGUGCAUUGUACUCUAACAUGUAGAUGCACCUUAUUCAGUCAAUCCCCUAUUGGUGGACAUUUGUCUUAUUUAUAGUCUUGUCCUAUUACAAAUUGUUCUUCUAGGAAUGACCUUGUUCUUCUGCCUUUUUGUCUUUUUGAAAUGUAUGUUUGGGAUAGAUUCUUAGAAUAGAGAUUGCUGGUUCCUGGAGAAAACACCUGUACCUCAUAAAAUAGAAAGGGAACAGGGAGUCCAGCCUGACUGGAGUGAAGAGUGGGGGCCUCCCAGGGGAGCGGACAGGGCUCUGAGAUAACUGACUGGGCACUCCAGGUCUGAGGCCAUCCAGAUUUAGGACUGAUUGUGGAAAAACACAUUUGCUUCGGUGAGAUGCUGCAUGUCACCUUUACACCCUGAAAUUACACAAAUUUGGUGAGAACAGAAGUGUCCUGAAGACCUCUCACAGGUCCAUGGGCGCAGGAAGGAGACAGGAACACUGAAAAUAGUGAAGUGGUUGAUGUCAGUGCCCUAAGCCUUCAUUAAAGUGAGAAGCAAAUGUCAAGAGGAAGGAUUUACCACUAAUUGGGUCCUCAGGCUGUCUGGAAAUCAUACACCCACUAUAGUUUCUCUCUGACCCCAGGUCCAAUGGUCUCCCAUCUGCCAGCAUGUUUAUGCCUUCCUCCUGGAGGCACAUUCUUAGCCAGAACACUCUCUCCAGGAGGUCACACUUUCCAUGCUUUCAUUUGUUUUCUCCUUGUAUCCUCCCUGAGAUUUUUCAUGAGGCUUUUCUCUGUUGCCUCAGCUCCUUUCAUCAACUCAGUGAGUUGUGUCACAACUCGACACUGCUCUGACAAGUUUAGGCACAAUUUAACACUCACCUAUACUAUCAUUUACAUGUUGCAUCUUUGCAGUUAUUUUUGUAGAGUUAAAUUUAUGAUCCUCCCCAACAGAGCUGCAUGUGUUGACCAAAUACCCCCUUCUGCUUAGGCAGCUCUGUGCUGUUGUAGACUCAUGGCUUACCAUAAUUUACUCAAAUGGGCAGCUUUCCUGUUGUCCAUAUUACAUGACCCUUUCAACUGUUUUCUGUAGAAUCUCUGUGCAGGAUUUCCUCCUGGGAUGCGAUGGUUUAUUUCUGGAUUUUAGUCAUGGUAUCUUCACAUGUUCCCACAUGCAAAAUUGACCCUAUCACUCUGCAUCCUUGUUGGAUGCCUUCAGUGAUUUACUAGGUGGGCCCACAAAGCCCCUUUCAUUUCUCUCUAAAUUCAUCUCUCUGCCAACUUACUCAAGGUAGGGAGUAAAGAAGAUGCAGGAGAUGAUUCCUGGGCUGCCCUGAGUCCUUUGACCUGGGGGAAGAUGCAUUUAAUACCCAGGAAGUGGAUCUGACAAAAUUCGAUUGGUGGUUUAUAACAUCUGGAAAACACUGCAUUCAAGGGGAGAUAUUUUUUAAGAGAAGAGAAAAUGUUAUUUGAGGCCAAAGUAACCUACUGCCCAAUGUGGUGAUAUUCAGAUCCUGUCUAUUUAGAAUAUAAGGAAAAUAUGUACCCCAUCCGAGGAUAUAUCUCACAAAUUUAUUAAUUAAUACAUUCAUGGGUGACAAUGUGCCCUGAACAGUGGUAAGUGCCUGAGUGCCCAGCUCUUUCAAUGGCAUGGUCAAUAAAGUCCUGUUAAUAUCUGCCACUUACAGUAUAGUCUUCAAUAUUUACUCUACAUAUAUUGAGGACGAAUCAGAUCUUGUACUUCCUGCUUCAACCAUCAAACAGAAUUUGGCUAUCUCAAGAGGAAUAUGGAAAUCUAUUCUAUUGAACUGUAAUAGUGUUUUUUCUGUUGUUUAUUCCUUAUAGAUGUUUCUGGACUCUUUCAAUUAUUAUUUUGAUAAAAGGGAUUUUAAACUUUUAAACACAUUGGAAGUUGGCUGGGCGAGGUGGCUCACACCUGUAAUCCCAGCACUUUGGGAGGCCAAGGUGGGUGGAUUACGAGGUCAGGAGUUUGAAACCAGCCUGGCCAAGAUGGUGAAACCCCAUCUCUACUAAAAAUACAAAAAUUAGCCGGGCAUGGUGGCAUGUGCCUGUAAUCCCAGCUACUCGGGAGGCUGAGGCAGGAGAAUUGCUUGAGCCUGGGAGGCAGAGGUUGCAGUGAGCUGAGAUCAUGCCACUGCACUCUAGCCUGGGCGACAGAGUAAGACUCUGCCUUAAAAAAAAAAAAAAAAAAAGUGAAAUUACAGUAACUAAAGAACUAAAGUAAUGCAGAUUUAUGUCCUAGCCUAUUGUACUGGAUGAAAACAGAAAGAACUUUAAAAAUAUUCAUCUCAAUUUGCUAAAUAAUACAUAUAAGUGGGCCUGUUUGUGUAUUAUAUAUAUUAUAUAUAAAUGAGUGUAUUUAUCUCAUAUAUAUAUAUAUAUAUUUGGUAGAUCUUAUUCCUGCUUCUACUUAGAUAUGUGACCCAAUAAUAGUGAGUUACCCCUUGUGAACCUGAACUGGGGCAUCUGUAACAUGGGCAUAUUGAUACAUACCUCGCUGAACUGUUGUGGGAAGAAAAUGUACAAUGCUUAAACCUAUGUGAAGUGUCUAACAUGUAAUGCUACAACAAAUAUAUGUAUUGGCUUUCCCUGUGUUUUCUCUUCUACAAAAGACGUAGUUUACAUGAACAUCUCCUAGAGGUCAAUUAGAGUUGAAGCAGCAGGAAAUAAAAUGUUUACAUAUUUCUAUGAGAGAAAAGCUUUUCUGUCUUUUCUUUGUAGAAGUUACCUGAUGCGUGGAGCGGAGGAGAAAGAAAAUAAUUUCAUUAUUUUUUAUUUGAUGUCCUUACAUCUUCAUUUACCUUCCAUUUGGACAUGUUAAUAGCAGCCUCUCACUGAGCCUCAGAAAGGAGACAGCACAGAAUGACAGACCAUGAAGAUGGGUCUUCUGGGAAACAGAUGAUAUCAGGAGACCUGGGUCCCAAAUACCAGAUCUGUUCUUAUGUACAGGACUAUGGGGAGUCACUUCUGUCCUAGCCUCAACCCUUUCACAGGAAAAGAUUUUAUUUCCCAAUAGAGGGGAGGUGUGGUUUUGGAGUCAGAUAGAGUGGGUAGGAUAUUUGGGCACAAUUAAUAAUUAAUUUAGUGAUCUUUAGCAAAUGUUAGGUCUGCAGAUAAAUGAAAUCCAUGUGUAAUGCAUAUACAUUAAAUAUGUCUGCAUAGAUAAUCAAGUGGGAAGUAAUUCACAAAAAUGAUACAUUUUUAAAAAUCAGCCAUGGGGUUAUUGAUUAUCUCUGGAGCUCAUUAUGUUUCCUAAAAUUUUAAAUUAGUAGGAAUCUCCUUUGAAUUCAGAAUCAAAUAUGGAAACAGUAGUUUUUAUUAAAUAUUUCAGAAAUACACAAAAUUAUAGAAUAGAACCUUCUAUGUUAACAUAAAACAUCAUAUGCAAUUAAAAUUCACUUUGAAGUGUUCUCUGAUUACAUUAGUUUCCUUCUUCCUCACAGGUAACCACUAGGCAAAAUUUGGGGUUUACAUUUUUAAGACAUUUCUCUAUAUUUUUAUUACAUUUGAAUAGAUCCACACACGAAAUAUGGUAUUUUUAAUGGUAUGGCUUUGUGAACUGAAAUAUCACCAAUUUACAAAUUUUUAAAAGGAUGGCUUUAUUUCUUAUUAAAGAUUACAGCCUGCAGUGUGGCCAUUCUGACGGGCUGGGAAUGUAGCCAUUGGAAGAAGCCCAGAAGCAGACACUUUGAGGGAGUGAGAGGUUAAGACAGGAAUUUAAGCUGAAGGGGUUGGACAAAGAUACAUACACAACACGUUAUAGGAGGAGCUAUGAAUAUUUAUGAAGGGGGUCCUGGCACAAACAUGUAUGUUAUACAUAUGGACCAGGUUCACCUUGGGGUGGAGACUUCACAUUUAAAUGUAUCACAAUUAGGCCCUAUACGUCAAAAGAACUUUUCAGAACACAAAGGCACUCAAGUCCUGCCCUCUUUAAACUGGCCAGAACCGGUCCAUGGUUGGUGAUCUUCUAAUCAGAAGAAAGUUACCGAAAUCAGUCUCUUGUCCAAUCAAAACUGUAGCCACUGCUGGUGGAACAGGGGCUGGGGAUCAGCAUCUAGUGGUGGAUGAGCUGCAAGUUGUUUUAAUGUUGCUUAUCUUGAGGCCAGUACUUGUUUAGCUACUGGAGAAAAAUGAAAAGGACAGCUUGUGUCAAUUAGAACGCAGUUUAUUCUUUAAGUGUAGAGUGUGUGACUUAACCCUUUCCUGGCAUGGCCUUAGGUCUUAUUUAUAAUUUGAUAUCUUAUUGCCACAAAGAGUCUGUUCUGCCAGUCUUAUGAUCUCUAUUUAACAUUAAUGCUGGUCAAUUGUUGUAUCUAAACCACAAAAGAGAGGGAGCAUAACAAGUUGUAUCUGACCCCACUUCCUGUCAUGCCCAGGAACUCAGUUUUAAGGAUUUUGGGGGGUCCUCCUGGCCAUGAGGAGGUUUAUUCAGUCAGUUGAGGGGCUUAAGGUUUUACUUUUAAUUUACAUUUUUAUCUCUAAAUGCAUGACUACCUCAUGGAAUAAGAGGAAGGAAGAAACAUAAGGAGAACAAAUACAUGUUCAGAUUUCAACAGUGGGAUUUGCCAUAUAUGCCUACAUGUCAUGUAUACUCUCUUUCCAACUUGCCAAAACAGGCCCAUUUACUUGGUUUGUGUGCUGUAGGGAGCAUUAAUAAAAUCUGCAGAUACUAUUUUCAAGCCCCCUUUUUUACCUGAUGUAUUCAAGCACCUAGAGUUUCCCUGGAGUGAACUGGCCUAAAACAAUGACUUAGUGUAUUCUUUAAUGAAACACCUUCUAUUUGUCCAGACUACUUGUAUUUAACUCAAACUGUAACUCAUGUGGGGUUACCCUGUACAUCUGGAACCUCACCUGAGCCAAGCUGAUGAAAGAAGACAGUGAUUCCCUGUAGUUAGUUUUCGUAUGUCCAAACUACUAUCCAAAUCCCUUGACUGGUUUAGGGAUGCAUCUCAUUUAGAACCUGAUCUCAUUUUGUGUGAUGGUUGUUUGACAUGAGUAGACUUUUCCAUUUCAUUUAUUAUUUUUUAAUUGCACAAGAAACACACUUUGGAGGUGUUUGAAUUCACAUGUGUUACUUGAUCUUGUGGACAGAGGCCAUAGUGCAGUGGGAUAGUCAGUGGAAAGUGGAGAAUAUUAACAGGGAAUGUAGAAAACUCUUUAUGGAACUUUGAAUGUAAAGAAAAAAAAUGUAAAGAGACAGAGAGAAAGCAAUAAAGAGAGAUAGAAGAGAUAUCUCCAUCAUGUGGCUGCAAUGGAUGCUGGUAAGUCCAACGAAUGACAUUGGAAAAAUCUUAAAUUACUUGAAACUUGAUCAAGUUUAAACAUUAAUGGGCAGCUAGAAAAAUUCAAAAGAAAAAAUAAUGGGAAGGAGCCAUCUCAUCUCAAAUUUAACAUUUAAAGUUGCCCAUAUAUUCAUAUCCUUUCUUACCCUCUCAUUUCCAAUUCAGAGCUAAUGAGAUGCGUCCACUGGGACAGCAUGAAAUCUGAGCUCAGUAAACAUUUAGUUAUUACCUAACAGAAGAAUAGACAAUUAUGUGUCAAAAAAUGUUGCUAACUAUUGGAUUUGUGCGUCUCCAGAAGGCAGCAGGUGGCUGAAAUCCUGGUGUGAUGUGGCUGGAUAAUACAUGACCUGAGGACUCCUGCACUGAUGACUGCAGGAUGAGACCAGAAUUUUCCUAUACAUACAUUAAAAUACUAAGUAGUCCAGAGGAGCCAUUAGGCAGACAUCACACUUUGCUUACUUUGCUAUCUAUCACUGAGAUCACCAGACCCUUGAUCGAGGAGUUCGAUAAUGGUGGUACCGUGGUGCCCUCUCGUGACAGAAGGCGGAACUACAGCUAGAACAUCGCGAGCAGGAAGGUGGGAGGGAGAGGCUGUGGCCCAAGCCCACCGUACAGAGCUUUCUGGAACUCUGGGUGGCAAAGCGGACAUUCUCAGUAGUCCCAGGGAUAUUGAUGGGCUCAAGACAGCAAUCGUUGUCUCUUACUGUGCUGAAAAGAGCUCUAUAUCAGAAUAAAAAGGUCAUUUUAAUUUUUAUUCUUUGACCACCGGAAAAUCAGACUUGUAUGAGGGAAAAAUGGAUCCAGACUACUUGUUCGAGUCUUUGUACCCCUCUUUAAAUCUUUAUUACCAUCUUUUCGUGGAAAUAAAUUUCUAUGACAUUCGAAAUUA